Anguilla rostrata (American eel) is the source of this 259-nucleotide long non-coding RNA. RefSeq lists it as uncharacterized. Lineage: Eukaryota; Metazoa; Chordata; Actinopteri; Anguilliformes; Anguillidae. The record is from RefSeq and is a predicted model, not a curated record. The transcript is spliced from 3 exons.
CUGUUUCCUGUGACUGUGAGUAGCAGGGAGUUUAGGUGCCUGUUUCCUGUGACUGUGAGUAGCAGGGAGUUUAGGUCCCUGUUUCCUGUGACUGUAGCAGGGAGUUUAGAUCCCUGUUUCCUAUGACUGUGACUGUAGCAGUGAGUUUAGGUCCCUGUCUCCUGUGACUGUGACUGUAGCAGUGAGUUUAGGUGCCUGUCUCCUGUGACUGUAGCAGGGAGUUUAGGUCCCUGUCUCCUGUUACUGUGACUGUAGCAGG